CAUUGGCAAGGUAUGAUGAAUCAAUUAGAUGUGUGAAGUUUCCUUGUGAACUUAACUAUUGAGGCAUACAUUCUGUCUGACUUGCCAUG
This 89-nucleotide small nucleolar RNA is filed under the name Sorghum bicolor (sorghum). RNAcentral's name for it is "snoRNA snoZ266". It matches the Rfam family "Small nucleolar RNA Z266". From Rfam's summary of the family: Z266 is a member of the C/D class of snoRNA which contain the C (UGAUGA) and D (CUGA) box motifs. Most of the members of the box C/D family function in directing site-specific 2'-O-methylation of substrate RNAs. The record is from Rfam by way of RNAcentral. Lineage: Eukaryota; Viridiplantae; Streptophyta; Magnoliopsida; Poales; Poaceae.